Molecule: long non-coding RNA, 1121 nt
Filed under: Astyanax mexicanus (Mexican tetra)
Lineage: Eukaryota; Metazoa; Chordata; Actinopteri; Characiformes; Acestrorhamphidae
Description: lncRNA (ENSAMXG00005009985.1)
Source: RNAcentral
UAAGUAUGAUUUAAGCCAUGAUAAUGCAGUUCCAGUUACACCAACCAUGUUCUCUAGUCUUUCUAAAAGGAAGUAUUAUUAUUUCCCAGAUUUAUAUUCUAAAAGUUAAUCGCUGCCUAAAAGUGUGUAAAUUAAUGCUAUUCUAUUUUCAUUGUAUCAGUGGAAAUAUACGGUAUUUAAAUUACAAUAAAGUUAUUAAUGGAAAUAAGGGAAUCAUUCUGACAUGCCUAGAAAUAAAUAAUCACAAUAUCUUUAUUACCUGAUGUUUAAUGAUGGUAAAAAGAAGACUGUUUGUUUAAUAAAUGCUUUUUAUUACAGGAAGAUCAACUCAUUCAAUCAAUAUUCUUCCUCCUACAUUUGCUGGUGAUGACGAAGAAGCUCAGAACAGACUGAUCUCAGCGGAACGAAGAUUCAGUAAAUCAAUGUAUUUACCUCCGAAUCUGGCUGGUGAUGAUGAUGGUGAUGAAGGUCAGAACAGACUGGUUGCAGGACUGACUCCAGGCAGACAAAGCUGGAAUUCCAGGAAUGUCUCCACUCCCAAUCUGGCUUUUGGGAGAAAUGAUGAGUAAAGAAGUGAACAUUCAGCAAAAGAUCCAUUACUCACCUGCAGUGCCUCGCACCAAUACCAGCAUCACCACCAACACCAUGAAUCACCAUUAUCUCUUAAACCCUGCCCACAUCCAUGAACUGAACACACUGACCAACUCUGUACUGGUCCAUCUAGAAAAGUAUCGCAACACUGUUAACAGAAUCCCCCUGAAGGAGGCUCCUCUAACUAGAUACUGACAGUAGAAUAUAACCAGACUGGAACAUGUUCAGCAGUAUCCAUUCAUACCAGCUAGAACGGAUAAAGCUGCUGACUAACUGACAUUAGUUUCACUAAGUUCAUCUCAUCACCAAAAAAUCCUUCCGUUUUCUGUGAAUCAGCUGAAAGAAUUUGGUGUCAGGAAUCAUUUGUUUCUAUGAGCCGUUUGGCUCCUCCCUUAUUGUGAUGCAGUGGCGCAAAAAGGGGGUAUGCAGCGUGUGCGACGCAUAGGGGCGCUGCACUAGAGGGGGCGUCAAAUCAAUGCCGAUAAUCGAUUAUUUCUGUUACUAACGCCGUUACUUUUUUCAGUAACGAG